UCUGACAGGAAGUUUAACUCCACAUCGGUAACCAACACCAGCAUCACUGUGACAUGGAGGUCCUUCAGCGAAGAAACCCGGCGCAGUUUAUUCAGACCACACAAUUUCUACUUUUACAAGAUAAGAAUUUCACCGCCAGAGAUUGAUACCAACACUCACCAGGCGUUCUACGAUGAGAAUGUGCUGGAGGCAACUUUUUCCGGACUCACUCCAGGAAAAGAAUACGAAAUUCACUUUGAAGCUGUCGGGGACAACGACGCACUCGUGUUGCAAAACCCUUAUCAUCUGAGACUUAUUACCAAUGCCAUUGUCUCAACUGAUCCUUCUCCAGUGGAGAAAGUUUCCGUUGUCGCUAAGAGCUCAACAUCCGUGACAUUGAACCUGACACCACCGAAGAACGGGUUUGUAGACCUGUUCCAAAUACAGGCAACUUCAGCACAUCAUUCCAGCCCUCUUGUAGAUGUUCCUUACUCAAGGGAAACCUCAGUCCUGGCCACUUUGUCCAAUCUUCUGCCUAAAACUACGUACAAUAUUUCAGCCACAACUGUCAAGAAUGGCCAGAGAGGCCAAGCAGCGUUUGUGAAUGUCA
Branchiostoma belcheri (Belcher's lancelet) is the source of this 589-nucleotide long non-coding RNA. RefSeq lists it as uncharacterized. The transcript has 5 exons. Lineage: Eukaryota; Metazoa; Chordata; Leptocardii; Amphioxiformes; Branchiostomatidae. The record is from RefSeq and is a predicted model, not a curated record.